This 69-nucleotide transfer RNA is filed under the name Rattus norvegicus (Norway rat). It matches the Rfam family "tRNA". From Rfam's summary of the family: Transfer RNA (tRNA) molecules are approximately 80 nucleotides in length. Their secondary structure includes four short double-helical elements and three loops (D, anti-codon, and T loops). Lineage: Eukaryota; Metazoa; Chordata; Mammalia; Rodentia; Muridae. The record is from Rfam by way of RNAcentral.
GGGGAUUUAGCUCAGUGGUAGAGCACUUGCCUAGCAAGCACAAGGCCCUGGGUUCGAUCCCCAGCCCCG